Drosophila elegans is the source of this 735-nucleotide long non-coding RNA. RefSeq lists it as uncharacterized. The transcript has 3 exons. NCBI's taxonomy places the organism in Eukaryota, Metazoa, Arthropoda, Insecta, Diptera, Drosophilidae. The record is from RefSeq and is a predicted model, not a curated record.
AUUUUAGUUUUUUCUCUCCUUUAACGAAGGCUUGUCGUUUCGAAAAUUGCCAGUUAAUUCAGCAUCCAAAUUUGACGGAUUUUGACGGACUUUUGCGAUACUAAGGCGAUGAAGCUGGAUAUAGCUGAUUUAAUUGAUUAUCUCGCUGCGGCCCUGUUGAUAUGACAAAGCACUUUUAAUCAAGGAAGUCAAAAGGAAACAAAUAUAAGCAUCACAAAUCAUCCCUGAAUUGCAUUUGGAAGGUGAACGCUUCCCAGUUAUUGGCGAUCAACAAGUUUUAAAUCAAUCCAAGUAAAACUAACGGAGGAACAGCGUUUCAAAGGAGAGGCCGUGCUACCAGAAUGUUCAGACACAUCCACCUUCGGAUUUCAGCUGAUAUGAACAGCUGUGGUUCGCCAAAACGUAAGCGGCGAACUAACUGGGAAAUUUAUGGAGCGGCAAAACCUUAUGGACCAUAUCUUCAACGGAUUAUAUUAUUAUUAUUAUUAUUAUUUAUAUUCAGUAGCGUACCAAAAUGUAGUAAUUUUAAAACAAUGCUUUAUUUUUGGUACUAUUUUCUGUUCGUUAUAGUUAUUUUUUGCUUAUAUGGUGAAUGGAGAGGGAAAGGAAGCGCCGCAUUCAAAAUUAAAUUAAAUUUUUCAUUUUUUACUAAUGUUUAAAUAAAUAAUAGCCACAUCCAAUUCAUUUUCCAUAUAUUAAUAAUUUGUGGUUAAAUUUCACUUAGUUUUGACAACU